GCAUAUCAAUAAGCGGAGGAAAAGAAACCAACCGGGAUUGCCUUAGUAACGGCGAGUGAAGCGGCAAAAGCUCAAAUUUGAAAUCUGGUACCUUCGGUGCCCGAGUUGUAAUUUGGAGAGGGCAACUUUGGGGCCGUUCCUUGUCUAUGUUCCUUGGAACAGGACGUCAUAGAGGGUGAGAAUCCCGUGUGGCGAGGAGUGCGGUUCUUUGUAAAGUGCCUUCGAAGAGUCGAGUUGUUUGGGAAUGCAGCUCUAAGUGGGUGGUAAAUUCCAUCUAAAGCUAAAUAUUGGCGAGAGACCGAUAGCGAACAAGUACAGUGAUGGAAAGAUGAAAAGAACUUUGAAAAGAGAGUGAAAAAGUACGUGAAAUUGUUGAAAGGGAAGGGCAUUUGAUCAGACAUGGUGUUUUGUGCCCUCUGCUCCUUGUGGGUAGGGGAAUCUCGCAUUUCACUGGGCCAGCAUCAGUUUUGGUGGCAGGAUAAAUCCAUAGGAAUGUAGCUUGCCUCGGUAAGUAUUAUAGCCUGUGGGAAUACUGCCAGCUGGGACUGAGGACUGCGACGUAAGUCAAGGAUGCUGGCAUAAUGGUUAUAUGCCGCCCGUCUUGAAACACGGAC
RNAcentral lists this ribosomal RNA (614 nucleotides) under uncultured yeast. RNAcentral's name for it is "eukaryotic LSU rRNA". It matches the Rfam family "Eukaryotic large subunit ribosomal RNA", at positions 38 to 666 of the family's 3401-position model. Lineage: Eukaryota; Fungi. The record is from RNAcentral.